Molecule: ribosomal RNA, 551 nt
Filed under: uncultured fungus
Lineage: Eukaryota; Fungi
Description: eukaryotic LSU rRNA
Rfam family: 5.8S ribosomal RNA (bases 186-339)
Source: RNAcentral
AAGUCGUAACAAGGUCUCCGUUGGUGAACCAGCGGAGGGAUCAUUACUGAGUACUACACUCUCUACCCUUUGUGAACUAUUAUACCUGUUGCUUCGGCGGCGCCCGCAAGGGUGCCCGCCGGUCUCAUCAGAAUCUCUGUUUUCGAACCCGACGAUACUUCUGAGUGUUCUUAGCGAACUGUCAAAACUUUUAACAACGGAUCUCUUGGCUCCAGCAUCGAUGAAGAACGCAGCGAAACGCGAUAUGUAAUGUGAAUUGCAGAAUUCAGUGAAUCAUCGAAUCUUUGAACGCACAUGGCGCCUUCCAGUAUCCUGGGAGGCAUGCCUGUCCGAGCGUCGUUUCAACCCUCGAGCCCCUGUGGCCCGGCGUUGGGGAUCUGCCACGGCAGGCCCCUAAAACCAGUGGCGGACCCGAAGGGCCCUCUCCUUUGCGCAGUAGCAUUCGCCUCGCAUCGGGAGUCCUCGGCGUCCUGCCUCUAAACCCCCCACAAGCCCGCUUCGGCGGCACCAAGGUUGACCUCGGAUCAGGUAGGAAUACCCGCCGAACUUAA